This 497-nucleotide ribosomal RNA is filed under the name uncultured bacterium. Its description in RNAcentral is "partial 16S ribosomal RNA". It matches the Rfam family "Bacterial small subunit ribosomal RNA", at positions 28 to 507 of the family's 1533-position model. The record is from RNAcentral.
GAUGAACGCUGGCGGCGUGCCUAAUACAUGCAAGUCGAGCGAACAGACGAGGAGCUUGCUCCCCUGACGUUAGCGGCGGACGGGUGAGUAACACGUGGAUAACCUACCUAUAAAACUGUGAUAACUUCGGGAAACCGGAGCUAAUACCGGAUAAUAUAUUUAACCGCAUGGUUCAAUAGUGAAAUACGGUUUUUCUGUCACUUAUAGAUGGAUCCGCCCCGCAUUAGCUAGUUGGUAAGGUAACGGCUUACCAAGGCAACGAUGCGUAGCCGACCGGAGAGGGUGAUCGCCCACACUGGAACUGAGCCACGGUCCAUACUCCUACGGGAGGCAGCAGUAGGGAAUAUUCCGCAAUGGGCGAAAGCCUGACGGAGCAACGCCGCGUGAGUGAUGAAGGUCUUCGGAUCGUAAAACUCUGUUAUUAGGGAAGAACAAAUGUGUAAGUAACUAUGCACGUCUUGACGGUACCUAAUCAGAAAGCCACGGCUAACUACGUG